This 946-nucleotide ribosomal RNA is filed under the name Gea heptagon. RNAcentral's name for it is "SSU rRNA". It matches the Rfam family "Eukaryotic small subunit ribosomal RNA", at positions 395 to 1343 of the family's 1831-position model. The record is from RNAcentral. Lineage: Eukaryota; Metazoa; Arthropoda; Arachnida; Araneae; Araneidae.
CCUGAGAAACGGCUACCACAUCCAAGGAAGGCAGCAGGCGCGCAAAUUACCCACUCCCAGCACGGGGAGGUAGUGACGAAAAAUAACAAUACGGGACUCUUUUGAGACCCCGUAAUUGGAAUGAGUACACUCUAAAUCCUUUAACGAGGAUCCAUUGGAGAGCAAGUCUGGUGCCAGCAGUCGCGGUAAUUCCAGCUCCAAUAGCGUAUAUUAAAGUUGCUGCGGUUAAAAAGCUCGUAGUUGGAUCUCAGCUCCGGCCGGACGGGUCCGCCUACCGGUGGUUACUGUUCGCUGCCGAGCGUUCAGGGGGCCGCUGUCGAUGAUCUUCAUCGGUUGUCGGCGGUGACCCUCACGUUUACUUUGAAAAAAUUAGAGUGCUCAAAGCAGGCGCGACGCCUGAAUAAUUGUGCAUGGAAUAAUGGAAUAGGACCUCGGUUCUAUUUUGUUGGUUUUCGGAACACGAGGUAAUGAUUAAGAGGGACAGACGGGGGCAUUCGUAUUGCGACGCUAGAGGUGAAAUUCUUGGACCGUCGCAAGACGAACUACUGCGAAAGCAUUUGCCAAGAAUGUUUCCAUUAAUCAAGAACGAAAGUUAGAGGUUCGAAGGCGAUCAGAUACCGCCCUAGUUCUAACCAUAAACGAUGCCAGCCAGCGAUCCGGCUGCGUUCCUCAAAUGACGCGCCGGGCAGCUUCCGGGAAACCAAAGCUUUUGGGUUCCGGGGGAAGUAUGGUUGCAAAGCUGAAACUUAAAGGAAUUGACGGAAGGGCACCACCAGAAAUGGAGCCUGCGGCUUAAUUUGACUCAACACGGGAAAACUUACCCGGCCCGGACACAGGAAGGAUUGACAGAUUAAGAGCUCUUUCUUGAUUCUGUGGGUGGUGGUGCAUGGCCGUUCUUAGUUGGUGGGGCGACUUGUCUGGUUAAUUCCGAUAACGAACGAGACUC